Molecule: ribosomal RNA, 253 nt
Filed under: uncultured bacterium
Lineage: Bacteria
Description: partial 16S ribosomal RNA
Rfam family: Bacterial small subunit ribosomal RNA
Source: RNAcentral
UACGUAGGGUGCAAGCGUUGUCCGGAAUUAUUGGGCGUAAAGCGCUCGUAGGUGGUUUGUCGCGUUGUUCGUGAAAACUCACAGCUCAACUGUGGGCGUGCGGGCGAUACGGGCAGACUAGAGUACUGCAGGGGAGACUGGAAUUCCUGGUGUAGCGGUGGAAUGCGCAGAUAUCAGGAGGAACACCGGUGGCGAAGGCGGGUCUCUGGGCAGUAACUGACGCUGAGGAGCGAAAGCGUGGGGAGCGAACAGG